UAUCUGUAUCUGUUCACCUUUUAUUGUUUUAUGUGUUUUGUGUCAGUGCAGUGGAGGCGCAAAAUCAGCACACCAUCAGCAAAACGCUCGUAGUCGCUGUGGGCUUCAACUACCGUGUACAUUUAGUCGAGAAUACCUGACUACAGAAUGACAAAGUAGCACAACAAACCAUUAUACGUAAAGGAAGCGAAACUAGAAGAAAAAUGUGGUUAUGUUUCCGUCUACCUGUCAGUGUUCAAAAUGACGGGGAAAAAAAACCCUACAAUUUCUUGAAAUGAUAGCGUGAAGUUGGGCUUCAUCGUGUCUUGGCGCAAAACUCUGCUUGGGUGCAACGGUUUUGCUGUGUGAAGAAGAUGAUGACAUCAUCGAUGGGAAGUUGCGCUACAGUAUAUCCAUGCAGACCUCCACAUGCGGUCACUAAUUAGCUGCCCUGAAGCAGCACACGAUCUCUCUGAUGAGGCCGCGUAGGAGGACAAUCAAAAAGACGAGGUGGGGUCACCUCCCACCGAUAACAAUGACGGGAAACCAGCGCACUCCUUGAAGGGCAGAGAUUCCCAGACAGUAGCGAGCUGACAGAAAGGCUCUACAAAAAAAUCCAGCCUCAAAUGAAUUAUAGUAGCUGUCGCUAAUCUCCACUAAAGG
This is a long non-coding RNA of Hippocampus comes (tiger tail seahorse), 642 nucleotides long. RefSeq lists it as uncharacterized. The record is from RefSeq and is a predicted model, not a curated record. Lineage: Eukaryota; Metazoa; Chordata; Actinopteri; Syngnathiformes; Syngnathidae. The transcript has 2 exons.